Molecule: RNA transcript, 1260 nt
Organism: Cloeon dipterum
Lineage: Eukaryota; Metazoa; Arthropoda; Insecta; Ephemeroptera; Baetidae
Gene: Rbp1-like
Gene name: Rbp1-like
Exons: 5
Source: RefSeq, a predicted model, not a curated record
CCUUCGUGCGUAAGCAGGAUCAUUGAUUUCUGCGGCGUUUCGGCGUCUUCGUCCACGUCCAGUGCUUAUUUUACCCUAAACCAGCUCGUUUACCCUCAGCUCGCUGAUUGCGAGUUGCAUUUUCAACGGAGCACACAAGUAGCAAGAUGUCACGCUACCGCGAAUGGGACCUCGCCUGCAAGGUGUACGUGGGCAACCUGGGCAGCAACGCGUCCAAGCACGAGCUCGAGUCAGCAUUCUCAAAAUACGGCCCCCUGAGGAAUGUUUGGGUGGCCCGCAACCCUGCCGGCUUCGCUUUUGUCGAAUUCGAGGACAACAGAGACGCCGAGGACGCGGUUAGAGGACUCGACGGAACACGAGUGUGCGGAACGCGCGUACGAGUUGAGAUGUCGACCGGCCGUAGCAGAAGGGGCGGAGGUGGCGGCGGCGGCGGAGGAGGAGGCGGCGGCGGAGGCGGUCGCAGAGGAGCCCCACGCUACAGUCGCUACUCCAGGGAUCAACUUCUACUACUACUAGUCAAACUAGCACAACUGCUACUGCUUCUUUGUACACAUUCACCUCUCACCACCACCACCACCAACCCCUUACCGCCUGUCAGCCUUCAAUCUUCAAAAAUCGCCACCGCCGCCGGACUGCAAUUCCUCCCGACAUGAAUUAAAGCCUAACCCACAGUCCGCGUGAACGGUGCCGGGCGAAACUGAACGAACUAAGCGAUUGCGAAAGGUCCCGUUUUCACAGUCAGGGUGGCCCGCCCGCCCAACCACCCGCCGGUCGUCCAAACUGGGGCUGCUCAACCAACCGCCCCACUGUCCUUUUUCUGCGCAACUUUAACGGACCUCAAACUCUCCUCAAAAAGAAAGCAACUACUUUUCAACUUGCUCGCUCGACCUCCUCACACGUUUGCCGAAACGGUCACGCUCGCCAAGGGAAAGACGCCACUCGCGCAGCAGGUCACGUUCCCGCUCCAGGAGCCGCCGCUCCCGCUCUGACUCGCCCCGGGAGCGUCGCUACGGCAAGGACGACUACUAAGCCGGAAGAACUGCCCCAUCCAUCAAAUCGUCUGUUGUCAAAAUUGCGUGUUGUGUUAUUAUUUGUGUAGAAGAUCGAACGUUACUCAUGGCUGCAAUGCUUUUCCAUCUAGGAGGAACGCUUUUCAAAACACAACCUCUCUCUUCUGAGUUCAUUAAUCGUUGGAAAAAUGCGUAAUUGUCAAGAACUAAAUCGAUAAAUAAAUAAUUUUACGUGUAUCAAAACGAGAAA